This 492-nucleotide ribosomal RNA is filed under the name uncultured bacterium. RNAcentral describes it as "partial 16S ribosomal RNA". It matches the Rfam family "Bacterial small subunit ribosomal RNA", at positions 29 to 507 of the family's 1533-position model. The record is from RNAcentral.
AGUGAACGCUGGCGGUAGGCCUAACACAUGCAAGUCGAACGGCAGCACAGUAAGAGCUUGCUCUUACGGGUGGCGAGUGGCGGACGGGUGAGGAAUACAUCGGAAUCUACUUUUUCGUGGGGGAUAACGUAGGGAAACUUACGCUAAUACCGCAUACGACCUACGGGUGAAAGCAGGGGAUCUUCGGACCUUGCGCGAUUGAAUGAGCCGAUGUCGGAUUAGCUAGUUGGCGGGGUAAAGGCCCACCAAGGCGACGAUCCGUAGCUGGUCUGAGAGGAUGAUCAGACACACUGGAACUGAGACACGGUCCAGACUCCUACGGGAGGCAGCAGUGGGGAAUAUUGGACAAUGGGCGCAAGCCUGAUCCAGCCAUACCGCGUGGGUGAAGAAGGCCUUCGGGUUGUAAAGCCCUUUUGUUGGGAAAGAAAAGCAGCAGGUUAAUACCCCGCUGUUCUGACGUUACCCAAAGAAUAAGCACCGGCUAACUUCGUG